RNAcentral lists this ribosomal RNA (756 nucleotides) under uncultured bacterium. Its description in RNAcentral is "bacterial SSU rRNA". It matches the Rfam family "Bacterial small subunit ribosomal RNA", at positions 8 to 796 of the family's 1533-position model. The record is from RNAcentral.
AGAGUUUGAUCCUGGCUCAGGACGAACGCUGGCGGCGUGCUUAACACAUGCAAGUGGAGCGACGAAUCGGACUUCGGUCCGAGGCAGAGCCGCGAACGGGUGAGUAACACGUGGGUCAUCUGCCCCGUAGACAGGGACAACCCUGGGAAACCGGGGCUAAUACCGCAUACGGCCCGAGGNNCAAAGCCGCAAGGCGCCUUUGGAGUGGCCUGCGUCCGAUUAGCUUGUUGGCGGGGUAACGGCCCACCAAGGCGACGAUCGGUAGCUGGUCUGAGAGGACGAUCAGCCACACUGGGACUGAGACACGGCCCAGACUCCUACGGGAGGCAGCAGUGGGGAAUAUUGGGCAAUGGGCGCAAGCCUGACCCAGCAAUUCCGCGUGGGUGAAGAAGGUCUUCGGAUUGUAAAGCCCUUUCGGCGGGGACGAUGGUGACGGUACCCGCAGAAGAAGCCCCGGCUACUUCGUGCCAGCAGCCGCGGUAAUACGAAGGGGGCUAGCGUUGCUCGGAAUCAUUGGGCGUAAAGGGCGCGUAGGCGGCGCAGCUAGUCAGGCGUGAAACCCCCGGGCUCAACCCGGGGACUGCGUUUGAUACGGCUGUGCUAGAGGAUGGAAGAGGGCCGCGGAAUUCCCAGUGUAGAGGUGAAAUUCGUAGAUAUUGGGAAGAACACCGGUGGCGAAGGCGGCGGCCUGGUCCAUUACUGNNGCUGAGGCGCGACAGCGUGGGGAGCAAACAGGAUUAGAUACCCUAGUAGUCC